CUGAUUUUAGUAGGAGAAAAUUGAUAAUCUCUCUAAAACUCAUCCUCUAAUUAAUGAGUAGCACAUAUAGUUGAAAUGUAAAUUUUGAUCCAAAUGUUAGGAUCCCUAAUAUUAUUAUUUUUUUAACGUAGUAUACAAUGGAAACAGAUAUGAUAUAAAAUUGACGAAACUGAUCGUUACAUUAUUGAUUGGUGUGAUUUCGUUGCUAGUUUGACAUCCACACGGCUCCUAGAAUUGCAAUUUCAUUUGCAUUUUUCAUGAGCUAUAUGCUAUAAUUUAGUUUUCUCAACCUCUCAAUUUCGCGUUCUUUUUUUUUUUAAAUAAUAAAACUUAAAUUUCGCUAUUAAAAUGUAUGUCAUGUGAUAUUUUUAUCCAAACAUUGACAGUAUGUCACAUUAAUAAUUUGUGUAAAGAUUUCGUAACUCUAAAAUUAUGUCACGUUAAUAAUGAUCUUGACAAUUAUUAUUACGAAAUAAUAGAAAGAACGGAUAAUUUUUUGUGUUUAACAUACGACUAUCCACUAAAAACGUUUAUGUGUUGGUUAGUAUUUAAAGCAUGCACUAGACAAAUAAUAAAAUUUGAAGCAUGCACUAGACAAAUAAUACAUACUCUAUUAUAUGACCAAUAAAUAACUAGCUAGUUUUGUUUUGUUGCGAAUACUUUCACAUUGAAGAGCCAAACUUGAAACUUUAGGACUAAAUAGUUUAGUCAAUUCAUCCCUAGUGUCUUGCUAGAGACCAAGAAAAUUUCAAAGAAAGUUGGCCAUGUUACGUAAUUAAUAAGCAACAUCCAAUCAAGGAGUCAACCUACCAUGCAGCGCUGUAUCUCAUACAGCACAUGCAUGCAACCGGUACAACCGGUUUUUAACCGGAUAAUAUAAUGAAAAUUAUAUUUUUAUUUGUUUUUAAUGUGAAAAAAUUAUGAAAAAAUUUGGAAAAAAAAGAGUAAAAUUUUAAUUAAAUAAGGAAAAAGAUUGUAAUAAUUUAAAAUUUAAAAAUAGUACAAAAAAUAUAAACAUAUCACAAAAUGGUUACAUUCCUACUUAUUUUGUCACAUUCCAAUAUUUAUAAUGCAUAUUUCAAGUUUACUUUUCAAAUUCCUAUUUCUAGUAAUGAUUUAUCUAAAUUUUUGUAAGUUGUUUCAACUCAUUUUCCCACUAGCUUUUGGUUCUAUAUUUCCACUCUUUUCAUCAACUUCCAUAUUUUUUGAUAGAUAUUUCAAGUUUAUUUUUAUAUCUCUACAAUUUGUUAAACUUUAUCUAGUUUUUGGUAAAUUAUUUCGAUUUAUUUUUCCACCACUUUUUUGUUCUAUAUUCCUACUCGUUUUAUUAAAUUCCAACAUUUUGUUUAGAAAUUUCAAGUUCAAUUUUUAGAUCUCUAUUUUCUGUUAAAAUUUAUCAAAUUCUUGUUAAGUUAUUUCAACUUUUGGGUUAACUUCUUCUACUCUUGUUUCCACUACUUUUUGGUUCUUUAUUCCAAUUCUUUUAAUUGAUUUCUAAUAUUUUGGUUAAAUAUUUCAAGUUCAUUUUAUAGAUCUCAACUUAUUGUUAAACUUUAUCAUAUUCUUGUUAAGUUCUUCGAACUUUUAGGUUAUGCUCCCCAACUCUUGUUUCCACCAUUUUUUUUGUUUUAUAUUUCUACUCUUUUCAUUGAAUUUAAGUAUUUUUCGUGAAUGUUUCAAGUUUAUUUUUUGAUCCCUAAUUAUUGUUGGAUUUAUCAUAUUCUUGGUAACUCUUUCCGAAUUUUAGGUUAACCUCUUCAACUCUUUUUUCCACCACUUUUUGGUUUUAUAUCCUACUCUUUUUAUUGAAUUCCAACAUUUUAUUUGGAAAUUUCAAGUUAAAUUUCUAAAUUCCCACUUUCAAUUAAAAUUUAUCAAAUUCUUAGUAAGUUGUUUCAAUUUAUUUUUCCACCGGUUAUUCGUUCUAUAUUUCCACUCUUCUUAUUGAAUUCCAAAUUUUUAGGUUGAUUUUUCAAGUUUAUUUUUUAUAUCUCUAUAUCCUGUUAGACUUUAUCUAGUUAUCGUUAAGUUGUUCCAACUUAUUUUUCCAGCACUUUGUGGUUCAAUAUUUCUGCUCUUUUUAUUGAAUUUCAAAUUUUGGGUAAAUAUGUCAAAUUUACUUUUUAGAUCCCUACUUUGCGUUAGAAUUUAUCAAAUCUUUGUUAAGUUAUUUCAACUUUUGGGUAACUUCUUCCACUCUUGUUCCCACUACUUUUUGUAUUUGUAUUCCAAUUCUUUUAAUUAAUUUCUAAUAUUUUGGUUAAAUAUUUCAAGUUCAUUUUAUAGAUCUCAACUUAUUGUUAAACUUUAUCAUAUUCUUCUUAAGUUCUUCGAACUUUUAGGUUAUGCUCCUCAACUCUUGUUUUCACCAUUUUUUUUGUUCUAUAUUUCUACUCUUUUCAUUUAAUUUAAGUAUUUUUCGUGAAUGUUUCAAGUUUAUUUUUUGAUCCCUAAUUAUUGUUGGAUUUAUCAUAUUCUUGGUAACUCUUUCCAAAUUUUAGGUUAACCUCUUCAACUCUUUUUUCCACCACUUUUN
RNAcentral lists this long non-coding RNA (2536 nucleotides) under Citrus x clementina. Its description in RNAcentral is "Citrus clementina (C. clementina) long non-coding RNA (CCLE_LNC005164)". The record is from RNAcentral. Lineage: Eukaryota; Viridiplantae; Streptophyta; Magnoliopsida; Sapindales; Rutaceae.